This 203-nucleotide long non-coding RNA is filed under the name Bos taurus (domestic cattle). RNAcentral describes it as "long non-coding RNA NONBTAT006210". Lineage: Eukaryota; Metazoa; Chordata; Mammalia; Artiodactyla; Bovidae. The record is from RNAcentral.
AUUUCAUGCAUUUUUUAAAAGGGCAUUUGAGGGGAGGAUGAUUCCUAUGAGUGAAAAAAAUGUUUUAGCUUAGUCUAAGCUACCUGCCUUCAAAAUAGUGUAGGGACCACCAUCAUUUGCUCUCACCAAUUUUUUAUAUUAAGCAAGAUGGCCUGUUCCAGCAGGGUCAUAUUUUUUAAGUUAUCUUUCAGGGCAAAAUGGAA